GAUGAAGAACGUAGCGAAAUGCGAUAAGUAAUGUGAAUUGCAGAAUUCAGUGAAUCAUCGAAUCUUUGAACGCACAUUGCGCCCGUCAGUAUUCUGGCGGGCAUGCCUGUUCGAGCGUCAUUACGCCCCUCAAGUCCCCUGUGGACUUGGUGUUGGGGAUCGGCGAGGCUGGUUUUCCAGCACAGCCGUCCCUUAAAUUAAUUGGAGGUCUCGCCGUGGCCCUCCUCUGCGCAGUAGUAAAACACUCGCAACAGGAGCCCGGCGCGGUCCACUGCCGUAAAACCCCCCAACUUUUUAUAGUUGACCUCGAAUCAGGUAGGACUACCCGCUGAACUUAAGCAUAUCAAUAAGCGGAGGA
Molecule: unclassified non-coding RNA, 358 nt
Filed under: soil metagenome
Description: partial contains 5.8S ribosomal RNA, internal transcribed spacer 2, and large subunit ribosomal RNA
Rfam family: 5.8S ribosomal RNA (bases 1-120)
Source: RNAcentral